UACGUAGGGCGCAAGCGUUGUCCGGAAUUAUUGGGCGUAAAGAGCUCGUAGGCGGCUUGUCACGUCGGGUGUGAAAGCCCGGGGCUUAACCCCGGGUCUGCAUUCGAUACGGGCAGGCUAGAGUGUGGUAGGGGAGAUCGGAAUUCCUGGUGUAGCGGUGAAAUGCGCAGAUAUCAGGAGGAACACCAAUGGCGAAGGCAGAUCUCUGGGCCGUAACUGACGCUGAGGAGCGAAAGCAUGGGGAGCGAACAGG
Molecule: ribosomal RNA, 253 nt
Filed under: uncultured bacterium
Lineage: Bacteria
Description: partial 16S ribosomal RNA
Rfam family: Bacterial small subunit ribosomal RNA
Source: RNAcentral